RNAcentral lists this ribosomal RNA (641 nucleotides) under uncultured Chryseobacterium sp. Its description in RNAcentral is "bacterial SSU rRNA". It matches the Rfam family "Bacterial small subunit ribosomal RNA", at positions 76 to 717 of the family's 1533-position model. Lineage: Bacteria; Pseudomonadati; Bacteroidota; Flavobacteriia; Flavobacteriales; Weeksellaceae. The record is from RNAcentral.
UUCUUCGGAAACUAGAGAGCGGCGUACGGGUGCGUAACACGUGUGCAACCUACCUUUAUCAGGAGGAUAGCCUUUCGAAAGGAAGAUUAAUACUCCAUAAUAUAUUAGAUGGCAUCAUUUAGUAUUGAAAACUCCGGUGGAUAGAGAUGGGCACGCGCAAGAUUAGAUAGUUGGUGAGGUAACGGCUCACCAAGUCAUUGAUCUUUAGGGGUCCUGAGAGGGAGAUCCCCCACACUGGUACUGAGACACGGACCAGACUCCUACGGGAGGCAGCAGUGAGGAAUAUUGGACAAUGGGUGAGAGCCUGAUCCAGCCAUCCCGCGUGAAGGAUGACGGUCCUACGGAUUGUAAACUUCUUUUGUAUAGGGAUAAACCCAGAUACGUGUAUCUGGCUGAAGGUACUAUACGAAUAAGCACCGGCUAACUCCGUGCCAGCAGCCGCGGUAAUACGGAGGGUGCAAGCGUUAUCCGGAUUUAUUGGGUUUAAAGGGUCCGCAGGCGGGCCGAUAAGUCAGUGGUGAAAUCUCAUAGCUUAACUAUGAAACUGCCAUUGAUACUGUCGGUCUUGAGUAAAUUAGAGGUAGCUGGAAUAAGUAGUGUAGCGGUGAAAUGCAUAGAUAUUACUUAGAACACCAAUUGCG